UGUCAAGGGAUGGGCAUCGAACCCACGACCUUCCGCCUUACCGGGCAGAUGCCAUGACCACUAGGCUACCCUGGAC
This 76-nucleotide transfer RNA is filed under the name Cordylochernes scorpioides. Its description in RNAcentral is "tRNA-Thr". The record is from RNAcentral. Lineage: Eukaryota; Metazoa; Arthropoda; Arachnida; Pseudoscorpiones; Chernetidae.